Molecule: small nucleolar RNA, 123 nt
Organism: Carcharodon carcharias (great white shark)
Lineage: Eukaryota; Metazoa; Chordata; Chondrichthyes; Lamniformes; Lamnidae
Source: RefSeq, a predicted model, not a curated record
UGCCAAUGAUGAGUUGCCAUGCUAAUACCGAUGUACCUGGGCUGUGUCCCAUGACCAGGCUCCGGGUGCACCUGAGUUAAUCUCACCUUCUCGACACGCUGUGUGUGUGGAGACCUGAGGCGA